This is an RNA transcript of Dermacentor albipictus, 840 nucleotides long. RefSeq lists it as uncharacterized. Lineage: Eukaryota; Metazoa; Arthropoda; Arachnida; Ixodida; Ixodidae. The record is from RefSeq and is a predicted model, not a curated record.
UCAAGACUCGGAUCAAAUAUAGCAAGCAAUGCUGCAUUACUUAAGUCCCGACAUAUAGCCUGCCAUUCCUUUUCGUGGGUUGGUGUCCAAUCAAAGAUGACGCCUUGUUUGACGAGAGAUCGUAAAGUAGACGUGCGCUGCGAGAGUGACGGUAGGUUAACGACUCCCAGCAGUCUUUGUACCGCCGAUUUGUCCUGAGGUUUUGGCAUUUUUAAAGACCGUCAACGAGAUCUGGAUUUGGCCUAAUGCCCUUGUCGCUAAUGAUGUCACCCAGGAAGAGUACUUCUUGCAGGCCAAAGCGACACUUGGAUGCAUUGAAGGUGCGCGCCCACGUGUGCUCCAGCCGAAAGUGGUCUGCAGCGCUGAGCUUGGGUGAGGAGUGCAAGUGCAAAUCCGGGGAUGAUUAGUCAUCGGCACAAGCUUCAUUCACCGACGAUCACUCUAACGGUGCAGGUGGAUCGAGCAUCUCUGGAACACUGUCGGCGUCAGCAGUUGCCGAAGACGACUUAAGAAUGCACAGCCGCACGAUUUCCCUCUUCAUUCUCUGCUUGAUCAUCGCGGUUGCUGCUCCAGCAGCCGCCAAUAGCCAGCUGGGACCAGUGACUGGUUUCGUCUCAGACCUCUUCAACAAUAUUAUACGGGUUGUCGACGCGGGAAUAAAGGAAGGUAUGGCCGUGCUGGGCCGUCGAGAACAGACACUGACUCCGACACCUGCUGAGGGGGCAACUAAAUAACCCCGAGCCAGCGAAUCAAUGAAAUGCAACUAAUUUCGACUCUGCACGUCCUAUGUUGUUUCUUCGGCAUAUGACUUAGCUGCUCAAUAAACCUCAAUACUAGUGA